UUGAAAGGGAAACGAUUGAAGUCAGUCGUACCAGCGGGAAAUCAACCUUUCGAGUGGUGUUUUGGAGUUUUGAAGUGUGUCAAAACCUUUGAGAUUUUAAAAUUUUCGCUCUUUUGGUGUACUUUCUCGUGGGUAGGUUAACAUCGAUUUUGAUCAUCAUAAAAAGACUGGAGGAAUGUAGCUUCGAUCUUGUAUUGAAGUGUUAUAGCCUUUGGUAAAUGUGAUGAUUAGGAUCGAGGAUUGCAACGAAUACCUUCUGGGCUAUCCGCCUGAUCUCUGAUACGUGGCCUUGGCAUCGAAAGCUUGCUUAUGGUAUCAAGGUAUUACGGUCAAAAGGUUAGAACGGAUUACAUUCGUUAAGGAUGUUGACGUA
RNAcentral lists this ribosomal RNA (373 nucleotides) under uncultured Glomeromycotina. Its description in RNAcentral is "LSU rRNA". Lineage: Eukaryota; Fungi; Glomeromycota. The record is from RNAcentral.